AGUGAACGCUGGCGGUAGGCCUAACACAUGCAAGUCGAACGGCAGCACAGUAAGAGCUUGCUCUUACGGGUGGCGAGUGGCAGACGGGUGAGGAAUACAUCGGAAUCUACUUUUUCGUGGGGGAUAACGUAGGGAAACUUACGCUAAUACCGCAUACGACCUACGGGUGAAAGCAGGGGAUCUUCGGACCUUGCGCGAUUGAAUGAGCCGAUGUCGGAUUAGCUAGUUGGCGGGGUAAAGGCCCACCAAGGCGACGAUCCGUAGCUGGUCUGAGAGGAUGAUCAGCCACACUGGAACUGAGACACGGUCCAGACUCCUACGGGAGGCAGCAGUGGGGAAUAUUGGACAAUGGGCGCAAGCCUGAUCCAGCCAUACCGCGUGGGUGAAGAAGGCCUUCGGGUUGUAAAGCCCUUUUGUUGGGAAAGAAAAGCAGCAGGUUAAUACCCCGCUGUUCUGGCGGUACCCAAAGAAUAAGCACCGGCUAACUUCGUG
RNAcentral lists this ribosomal RNA (492 nucleotides) under uncultured bacterium. RNAcentral's name for it is "partial 16S ribosomal RNA". It matches the Rfam family "Bacterial small subunit ribosomal RNA", at positions 29 to 507 of the family's 1533-position model. The record is from RNAcentral.